Molecule: long non-coding RNA, 1553 nt
Organism: Cornus florida
Lineage: Eukaryota; Viridiplantae; Streptophyta; Magnoliopsida; Cornales; Cornaceae
Exons: 3
Source: RefSeq, a predicted model, not a curated record
GCGGAGGGUUACGUGACUGGUACGACACCUUCUUCUUCUUCUUCUGUUUCAUGAUUUUUAAGCUAUUCUGUAAGGUUUCUAGGGUUUUCAGAAGAAUUGGUUGUCGUUAUUUUCCUUGUGUAAUGUUGUUCCUUUUAUGCAUCCUUUGCAAAGACAAGGCUGUUGUUUACGAAUCAACGAUUGAUUUAGAAUCCAUUUUUGAUUUAGUAAAAUAUCCCCCUUAGCAAAUAAUUUGCCUUAUUAUUAUUAUUAUUAUUAUUAUUAUUUUUUCGUUUCUUUUUUUUUUUUUUUUUUUUUUUUUUUCUUUUUUCUUUUUUUUUUUGAUGAUAAAUUCUCUCUCUUAUCAUUUCAUUUGUAUUAAUGUUUCUUUUAGAUUGCCACCACUAACUCAUCAAGAUGCGUAAACAGGUUACUGAACGGCCGUUUCUUGUUCCCCUGCUUUGGUUUUAGCAAAUAAUUUGCCCUUACUUAUUUUUAUUUUUAUAUUUUGAGUUUUGAUGAUAAUAGUCUCUCUCAUUAUAAAUGUUUCUUUCAGUUUGCCACCAACAUGUAUAAUCACCUUACGGUCCUUAAUUACUAAAGUGACUUCUGUGGCUGCUGGUGGCACCGGUUUCGCCUUUCUAAUCUGUAUCGGGAGCUUUAAAAUGGCGGAGUGCCCACAAAAGCGCUCAUAAGCAGGCUAUACUACUGGCAAAAUAUGAUGGUGAGCAAGAAAAGGCUCUAUGGGAGGCUCUACGGGAAAAAUAUGGUGAUUAGCACUACUAGACCUUGCAAACCUUCUAUGGGGUUGUGUUAACGAUUACUUAUGGUCUCUUGGUUCUUCAAAUUUAUUGGAAGAAUAAUACAUAACUUGAUGUUUGGAGGAUAUUUCAUUAUCACUGCAGACAAUUCUAACAGACACAUACUUUUGAGUGGUGACAUUGAGAAGCAACCACAUAUUGUAACCUUGAUUCUUGAUAUCAUUAGAAAGCUUGCAAGAACAGAAGAACUCAUACUUUUGACAGCUUGGGGUCUUCAAGAAAGGCAAUGAACAGUGGCAUCUGAUCUGGACUCUCUUUGAUUUUCACUCUAGGCACACAGAGAAAUUCAACACUAAUUUAAGCAACUCAAGAGAAGCUGAAGAACCCUAACAAAAAAAAAAAAAUUCUCUCAUAUCUUCUGUAUAUAUAUGAAGCUCUAUGCAUUGUCAAGUUCUGCAUGAGAGACUCUACAGGGGACACAACCUCAGACGUCCAAUUUGACUCCACAACUUAAUUGCAACCGUUGGAUCAAAUGAAUGAUUGACCGCACAUUUGUUGCCCUUCGAUCUUUGUCACAAUAUCAGCAAAAAGAGUGUGUACCCGUUGCUCCCUUCAACUGAGAACCAAACAGCCCCUUUGGAUCAGUCUUCUUUUCGAGUAUCCACUUGAAGCUGUCUCAAUUUGUAGUUGGGAGACUAAUAGUUGACCCAACAAUUUGUAGCCGUUAGAUUUAUUACCAAGUUGACCCAUAUGACCUUUAAACUUCUUUUCUUUAUAUAUUUUUAUUAUUAUUAUUAUUUAUAUGUAUUAGAC